Molecule: non-coding RNA, 177 nt
Filed under: Cellvibrionales bacterium
Lineage: Bacteria; Pseudomonadati; Pseudomonadota; Gammaproteobacteria; Cellvibrionales
Description: 6S RNA
Rfam family: 6S / SsrS RNA
About the family: E. coli 6S RNA was the first non coding RNA to be sequenced, but its function was unknown until recently. It consists of 184 nucleotides that fold into an extended hairpin structure with a large single-stranded internal bulge. The 6S RNA specifically associates with RNA polymerase holoenzyme containing the sigma70 specificity factor.
Source: RNAcentral
CGUCCACCGGGUGUCGGUGGGUUGGCGAGUCCUUGAACCGAUUUAAGUGUAAGCCGGAUUCCCCGCGUCAGGGCCAGUGUGCAUGUCCGCAAGACGGAAAGCCUUAGGCUUUGCAGGGGUUUCCACCUUGAACCUUCGGGUUCAAGGCAGUGCCAGCCUGCCGCAUCUGGUGGAUCC